AAAAUAGCAAAAAUUAUAAAGUUUCUCGUGCCGAAUUGCUAUAGUCAUGGCAUGGUAGACUUAUCUAUACACACGUAAAAUAUGAGCGAUU
Molecule: non-coding RNA, 91 nt
Organism: Spinacia oleracea (spinach)
Lineage: Eukaryota; Viridiplantae; Streptophyta; Magnoliopsida; Caryophyllales; Amaranthaceae
Source: Rfam